AAUUACCCAAUCCUGACACAGGGAGGUAGUGACAAGAAAUAACAAUACAGGGCAAUUGUCUUGUAAUUGGAAUGAUGGUGACCUAAACCCUCACCAGAGUAACAAUUGGAGGGCAAGUCUGGUGCCAGCAGCCGCGGUAAUUCCAGCUCCAAUAGCGUAUAUUAAACUUGUUGCAGUUAAAAAGCUCGUAGUUGAAUUUUUGCGUGGUGUUAAUAUUGACUGAUGUCGAGAUUGCACUUCGCUUUUGGGAUUUUUCCCUUUUUACUUUGAGAAAAUUAGAGUGUUUCAAGCAGACUUUUGUCUUGAAUACUUCAGCAUGGAAUAAUAGAGUAGGACUUUGGUUCUAUUUUGUUGGUUUGUGAACCUUAGUAAUGGUUAAUAGGAACGGUUGGGGGCAUUCGUAUUUAA
Molecule: ribosomal RNA, 408 nt
Filed under: Babesia divergens
Lineage: Eukaryota; Apicomplexa; Aconoidasida; Piroplasmida; Babesiidae
Description: SSU rRNA
Rfam family: Eukaryotic small subunit ribosomal RNA
Source: RNAcentral